UGACUUCAUCACAUACUGAAUUGGCUAAGAAAGGUACUAAAGUUUUGUUUUCUAUUUUUAAGUAUCUUUCUCCUUUAGAAAAUGUGUCUAUAAAACUAUACAAAAAAUUGUUUGAAUCACUAGUUAAACCUAUUCUCAUGUAUAACUCUGAAAUUUGGUAUAUGGAUUUUUAUGAAAAAAUAAUAAGAGCUGAAAGACGAGCACAAAUUAAAGACAUGAGUAAAUUUGAUAUUCUAGCAAUGAUUGAUAGUAGCCAAGUGGAGAAGACACAUUUAAAAUUUUGCAAAUAUGUACUGGGGCUUAGUAAACAAUCUGUCAAUAUAGCUGCAAGAGCAGAACUAGCUCAGUAUCCCAUAGAUGUCUUUAUUAAAGUACAAUCAUUGAAGUACUUAGCAAGAAUUUCUAGUGAUGAAAAUAACCCUUUAUUAUAUGAUGCUUUCUGUUUAUCUAAAUGGCUUAGCACUAACGGUAUAUUUUCAUGGUUCUCAUAUGUAGAAAAUAUAGCCAAUGUAAAUAAAUUAGACAUAAAUAAAAUACAGGAUAUAAACUAUAAACAAGAGAAGAGUUCAUUCUCAAAAAAUAUUAAAAAAGAACUAAAAGAUAGCUUUGAAAAUAUUUUCUUUGAAAAAUUAAAAUUAACUAAUGAAACCAGU
This 653-nucleotide long non-coding RNA is filed under the name Mytilus galloprovincialis (Mediterranean mussel). Lineage: Eukaryota; Metazoa; Mollusca; Bivalvia; Mytilida; Mytilidae. The record is from RNAcentral.